RNAcentral lists this ribosomal RNA (508 nucleotides) under Oocyclus trio. RNAcentral describes it as "partial 16S ribosomal RNA". It matches the Rfam family "Bacterial large subunit ribosomal RNA", at positions 1839 to 2608 of the family's 2925-position model. The record is from RNAcentral. Lineage: Eukaryota; Metazoa; Arthropoda; Insecta; Coleoptera; Hydrophilidae.
UGUAAUAUUUAAAGUCUAACCUGCUCAAUGAAAAUUUAAAUGGCCGCAGUAUUUUGACUGUGCAAAGGUAGCAUAAUCAUUAGUUUCUUGAUUAGGAACUUGUAUGAAUGGUUGGAUGAGAAAUGAACUGUCUCUAUAUAAUUUUAUUAGAAUUUUAUUUUUAAGUUAAAAAGCUUAAAUUUUUGUUAAAGACGAGAAGACCCUAUAGAGUUUAAUUAAAUUAAUCUUAUUGUUUAUUAAGAAUUUAAUUUUUGUGAGAUUAAUUUAAUUUUGUUGGGGUGACAGGAAGAAUAAAAUAACUUUUCUUUUUUAUAACAUUGAUUUAUGGUUUGUUGAUCCAAUAUUUUUGAUUAAAAAAUUAAAUUACCUUAGGGAUAACAGCGUAAUUUCUUUUGAGAGUUCUUAUCGAAAAAGUAGAUUGCGACCUCGAUGUUGGAUUAAAAUUAAGGAUUGGCGUAGAAGUUAGUCUUUUAAGUCUGUUCGACUUUUAAAAUUUUACGUGAUCUGA